UGGGGAAUAUUGGACAAUGGGCGAAAGCCUGAUCCAGCCAUGCCGCGUGUGUGAAGAAGGUCUUCGGAUUGUAAAGCACUUUAAGUUGGGAGGAGGGGCAUUAACCUAAUACGUUAGUGUUUUGACGUUACCGACAGAAUAAGCACCGGCUAACUCUGUGCCAGCAGCCGCGGUAAUACAGAGGGUGCAAGCGUUAAUCGGCAUUACUGGGCGUAAAGCGCGCGUAGGUGGUUUGUUAAGUUGGAUGUGAAAGCCCCGGGCUCAACCUGGGAACUGCAUCCAAAACUGGCAAGCUAGAGUACGGUAGAGGGUGGUGGAAUUUCCUGUGUAGCGGUGAAAUGCGUAGAUAUAGGAAGGAACACCAGUGGCGAAGGCGACCACCUGGACUGAUACUGACACUGAGGUGCGAAAGCGUGGGGAGCAAACA
RNAcentral lists this ribosomal RNA (427 nucleotides) under uncultured bacterium. RNAcentral describes it as "partial 16S ribosomal RNA". It matches the Rfam family "Bacterial small subunit ribosomal RNA", at positions 355 to 774 of the family's 1533-position model. The record is from RNAcentral.